This 826-nucleotide long non-coding RNA is filed under the name Trifolium pratense (red clover). Its description in RNAcentral is "long non-coding RNA (TPRA_LNC007237)". The record is from RNAcentral. Lineage: Eukaryota; Viridiplantae; Streptophyta; Magnoliopsida; Fabales; Fabaceae.
UCAGAUCUACCUUUUCCUUUUAUAACCGAAGUCAAUAAAUGAGAAUUUCGCCUCAGGCACGAGCAUUUUCGCCCCAGGCACAGAAUUUUUGCCUGAGGCGCCAACAUUUUCGCCCCAGGCGAACAGGCAAACAAAGAGGUACUUUUUCUGGUGAAAUUUUCGCUUGAGGCACAGGAUUUUUCGCCUCAGGCGAACAAGCAAACAGAGAGGUGCUUUUCAACUGGGAAUUUUCGCCUGAGGCAUAGGAAUUUUCGCCUCAGGCACAAAAUUUUCGCCUGAGGCACCAACAUUUUUCAGCUACUUUCAUCCUUUGCAAAUAUCUUCAAACUAGUGCAUUAUUCUUCCAUGAAAUGAGUUACAAUACUUCUAAAAAACACUUGAAAUUGGUCUUAUUUUCAUGUAAUGACGCAUGUCAUCACAACCCCAAACUUAUUUCAUUCCUUGUCCUCGAGGAAUAUCUCAAUCUCUAAGAAAACAAAACACUACCUCAAUCCAUUUGGCUACACAAACUCAAACCCAAUCAAGUUAGACGUAAUUUGCAUAAUAUUUCAUCGAUCAAUUUCGUCAUGAUUCAAAUACACACAGUUUCAAAUUUAGUCAAAACAAAGAGCAUCAAACAAAGAUUGACCAUACUGAAUCUCUUCAGACCCUCACCGACUCUCCUGUUUAAGGGUAAUAUUCACUCAAUCAACACAUCAUAACUAGACUACUAUAAAUUUGCAGACAUUCUCAAAAAUCAAUCACCAUGUCAUGAGCAUACACAUUAGAGGACUUUUAUAGGUUAUAACGUGGCCUGGUUAUAAGGUGGAUGGUGGCAUUUCUGGUA